CCCCGGUGAGUAGUGACGAUGAAUAUGGGGGGAUUCUUUAUGACUUGCCUGGCGUCCAAUUGCAACGAGACCUCCAUUUCGACUACGACAGUACGAACAUAUAUGGGAACAACAUAAACAUGGCCACCAUCUGCUAAUAAAUAUUUCCCUGCAGUAUAUAUGAUGUUUAUAAACCUUUUUCUUUCCAUGUNAACAACAUAAACAUGGCCACCAUCUGCUAAUAAAUAUUUCCCUGCAGUAUAUAUGAUGUUUAUAAACCUUUUUCUUUCCAUGUCUACAAAAAAUUGAUGCAGGAGAAAUUGU
RNAcentral lists this long non-coding RNA (303 nucleotides) under Olea europaea (common olive). Its description in RNAcentral is "long non-coding RNA (OEUR_LNC002530)". Lineage: Eukaryota; Viridiplantae; Streptophyta; Magnoliopsida; Lamiales; Oleaceae. The record is from RNAcentral.